UACCAGACUCCUACGGGAGGCAGCAGUGGGGAAUAUUGCACAAUGGGGGAAACCCUGAUGCAGCAACGCCGCGUGAGUGAAGAAGUAUUUCGGUAUGUAAAGCUCUAUCAGCAGGGAAGAAGAUGACGGUACCUGAUUAAGAAGCCCCGGCUAACUACGUGCCAGCAGCCGCGGUAAUACGUAGGGGGCAAGCGUUAUCCGGAUUUACUGGGUGUAAAGGGAGCGCAGACGGCAGUGCAAGUCUGGAGUGAAAGCCCGGGGCCCAACCCCGGAACUGCUCUGGAAACUGUGCGGCUAGAGUGCAGGAGGGGCAGGCGGAAUUCCUGGUGUAGCGGUGAAAUGCGUAGAUAUCAGGAGGAACACCGGUGGCGAAGGCGGCCUGCUGGACUGCGACUGACGUUGAGGCCCGAAAGCGUGGGGAGCAAACAGGAUUAGAUACCCGCGUAAA
This 448-nucleotide ribosomal RNA is filed under the name uncultured bacterium. RNAcentral describes it as "partial 16S ribosomal RNA". It matches the Rfam family "Bacterial small subunit ribosomal RNA", at positions 329 to 794 of the family's 1533-position model. The record is from RNAcentral.